RNAcentral lists this ribosomal RNA (239 nucleotides) under uncultured Lactobacillus sp. RNAcentral's name for it is "partial 16S ribosomal RNA". It matches the Rfam family "Bacterial small subunit ribosomal RNA", at positions 125 to 354 of the family's 1533-position model. Lineage: Bacteria; Bacillati; Bacillota; Bacilli; Lactobacillales; Lactobacillaceae. The record is from RNAcentral.
CCGUAGCCCAAGAGAUCGGGAUAACACCUGGAAACAGAUGCUAAUACCGGAUAACUAACAGAUGAUGCCUAUCAACUGUUUAAAAGAUGGUUCUGCUAUCACUCUUGGAUGGACCUGCGGUGCAUUAGCUAGUUGGUAGGGUAACGGCCUACCAAGGCGAUGAUGCAUAGCCGAGUUGAGAGACUGAUCGGCCACAUUGGGACUGAGACACGGCCCAAACUCCUACGGGAGGCAGCAGA